AUUGAACGCUGGCGGCAUGCCUUACACAUGCAAGUCGAACGGCAGCACGGGUGCUUGCACCUGGUGGCGAGUGGCGAACGGGUGAGUAAUACAUCGGAACAUGUCCUGUAGUGGGGGAUAGCCCGGCGAAAGCCGGAUUAAUACCGCAUACGAUCUACGGAUGAAAGCGGGGGACCUUCGGGCCUCGCGCUAUAGGGUUGGCCGAUGGCUGAUUAGCUAGUUGGUGGGGUAAAGGCCUACCAAGGCGACGAUCAGUAGCUGGUCUGAGAGGACGAGCAGCCACACUGGGACUGAGACACGGCCCAGGCUCCUACGGGAGGCAGCAGUGGGGAAUUUUGGACAAUGGGCGAAAGCCUGAUCCAGCAAUGCCGCGUGUGUGAAGAAGGCCUUCGGGUUGUAAAGCACUUUUGUCCGGAAAGAAAUCCUUGGCCCUAAUACGGUCGGGGGAUGACGGUACCGGAAGAAUAAGCACCGGCUAACUACGUG
This 486-nucleotide ribosomal RNA is filed under the name uncultured bacterium. Its description in RNAcentral is "partial 16S ribosomal RNA". It matches the Rfam family "Bacterial small subunit ribosomal RNA", at positions 30 to 507 of the family's 1533-position model. The record is from RNAcentral.